Molecule: RNA transcript, 704 nt
Organism: Amphibalanus amphitrite
Lineage: Eukaryota; Metazoa; Arthropoda; Thecostraca; Balanomorpha; Balanidae
Gene name: 39S ribosomal protein L34, mitochondrial-like
Exons: 3
Source: RefSeq, a predicted model, not a curated record
GUGGGGAAUUAGGGUUUUGGGUAGGGGGAGGGAGGAAUAUUUUUACAUGAUGGUGAUAUUUGAAAAAAAUACUCAGUUGCAGCUCUGUUACAGCCACCUUACUUCACAUAUGUCUUCAAAUAUUUUAUAAGUACAAAUUGAUAGUUUUAGAAGAUAUCUCUUCAACAAUGAGUGUUUUGGGAGUGAUUCAAUCAGCAUUGUAUCGGCCAUUCAUUGGGCUCAGGAGCUUCUCCUCUCUGACGUGCCGCGUGGUAUCGGCGGCGCCGACACCGCUCACCUCGCCCGGACUGCUGGACGCGUGCGCGCGCCUCUGGCCAGCCGCCGGUCAGCUGCGCACCGCCAUGCGCGUGCAUUUUCCGCGGCCGCGCGAGGUGAAACGGCUGCGCACCCACGGCUGGAAGACGCGCCUGCAGACCCCGGCCGGCCGGCGCAUCAUCAUGCGGCGACUGCUCAAGGGUCGCCACGUGCUAUCCCACUGAGAGGUAACCGCGCCUGUACCGCUGUGUGUGUGAUUACGGCUGAACGCUCACUGGUCGACAAGCAUAGGGCCGACCGCUGCUGACAGACGCACGUGGUGUGACCCGUGAGGGAUUACCUAGGUGUAACUUGAGUGACAUUGUUGGUCCAUGUGACAUUCAAAUCAGGACAUAGCUCGUUUUUGUAUGCCGGUACUGUCGGAACUGAAAUACAAAUUAAAGAGAGAU